Molecule: ribosomal RNA, 253 nt
Filed under: uncultured bacterium
Lineage: Bacteria
Description: partial 16S ribosomal RNA
Rfam family: Bacterial small subunit ribosomal RNA
Source: RNAcentral
UACGUAGGGUGCUAGCGUUGUUCGGAAUCAUUGGGCGUAAAGCGCGUGUAGGCGGUCAAAUAAGUCUGGUGUGAAAGCCCUGGGCUCAACCGAGGAAGUGCAUCAGAAACUAUUUGACUAGAAGACGGUAGAGGAAGGUGGAAUUCCAAGUGUAGAGGUGAAAUUCGUAGAUAUUUGGAGGAAUACCGGUGGCGAAGGCAAUCCCCUGGGCCUGCACUGACGCUCAUGCACGAAAGCGUGGGGAGCAAACAGG